Molecule: ribosomal RNA, 253 nt
Filed under: uncultured bacterium
Lineage: Bacteria
Description: partial 16S ribosomal RNA
Rfam family: Bacterial small subunit ribosomal RNA
Source: RNAcentral
UACGGAGGAUCCAAGCGUUAUCCGGAUUUAUUGGGUUUAAAGGGUGCGUAGGCGGCCCUGUAAGUCAGUGGUGAAAUACUGCAGCUUAACUGUAGCAUUGCCAUUGAUACUGUAGGGCUUGAGUACAGAUGAGGUAGGCGGAAUUGAUGGUGUAGCGGUGAAAUGCAUAGAUACCAUCAAGAACACCGAUUGCGAAGGCAGCUUACUAAGCUGUAACUGACGCUGAGGCACGAAAGCGUGGGGAUCGAACAGG